CAGCAGCCGCGGUAAUACGUAGGGGGCGAGCGUUGUCCGGAAUUACUGGGUGUAAAGGGCGUGUAGGCGGGGGUGCAAGUUACCGGUAAAAACCCAGGGCUCAACUCUGGGCUUGCCGGUAAAACUGCAUCUCUUGAGUGUAGGAGAGGGAAGUGGAAUUCCCGGAGUAGCGGUGAAAUGCGUAGAUACCGGGAGGAACACCAGUGGCGAAGGCGGCUUCCUGGCCUACAACUGACGCUGAGGCGCGAAAGCUAGGGUAGCGAACGGGAUUAGAUACCCCGGUAGUCCUAGCCGUAAACGAUGGUCACUAGGUGUGGGUGGUGGUCAAGCCAUCCGUGCCGGAGCUAACGCAAUAAGUGACCCACCUGGGGAGUACGGCCGCAAGGCUGAAACUCAAAGGAAUUGACGGGGGCCCGCACAAGCGGUGGAGCAUGUGGUUUAAUUCGAAGCAACGCGAAGAACCUUACCAGGCCUUGACAUAUAGGUAGUAGAGAACCGAAAGGGGAUCGACCCGAGGUUACCCGAGGGAGCCUAUACAGGUGGUGCAUGGCC
RNAcentral lists this ribosomal RNA (552 nucleotides) under uncultured archaeon. Its description in RNAcentral is "bacterial SSU rRNA". It matches the Rfam family "Bacterial small subunit ribosomal RNA", at positions 509 to 1050 of the family's 1533-position model. The record is from RNAcentral.